UAGGGAAUAUUAGUAAUGGGCGAAAGCCUGAACUAGCAACGCCGCGUGUGCGAAGAAGGCCUUCGGGUUGUAAAGCACUUUUUGAGAGGAUGAGGAAGGACGGUACUCUCAGAAUAAGUCUCGGCUAACUACGUGCCAGCAGCCGCGGUAACACGUAGGAGGCGAACGUUAUCCGGAUUUACUGGGCGUAAAGCGCGUGUAGGUGGUUUGGUAAGUAGGGCGUAAAAGCUCCUGGCUCAACUGGGAGAGGCCGUUCUAAACUGCCGGACUAGAGGAUGGUAGAGGGAGGUGGAAUUCCGAGUGUAGCGGUGGAAUGCGCAGAUAUCCGGAGGAACACCAGUGGCGAAAGCGGCCUCCUGGACCAUUCCUGACACUCAGACGCGAAAGCUAGGGUAGCAAAC
Molecule: ribosomal RNA, 401 nt
Filed under: uncultured bacterium
Lineage: Bacteria
Description: bacterial SSU rRNA
Rfam family: Bacterial small subunit ribosomal RNA
Source: RNAcentral